RNAcentral lists this ribosomal RNA (547 nucleotides) under uncultured bacterium. RNAcentral describes it as "bacterial SSU rRNA". It matches the Rfam family "Bacterial small subunit ribosomal RNA", at positions 355 to 895 of the family's 1533-position model. The record is from RNAcentral.
UGGGGAAUAUUGCGCAAUGGGGGGAACCCUGACGCAGCCAUGCCGCGNGAAUGAAGAAGGCCUUCGGGUUGUAAAGUUCUUUCGGUAUUGAGGAAGGUUGAUGUGUUAAUAGCACAUCAAAUUGGCGUUAAAUACAGAAGAAGCACCGGCUAACUCCGUGCCAGCAGCCGCGGUAAUACGGAGGGUGCGAGCGUUAAUCGGAAUAACUGGGCGUAAAGGGCAAGCAGGCGGUUAUUUAAGUGAGGUGUGAAAGCCCCGGGCUUAACCUGGGAAUUGCAUUUCAGACUGGGUAACUAGAGUACUUUAGGGAGGGGUAGAAUUCCACGUGUAGCGGUGAAAUGCGUAGAGAUGUGGAGGAAUACCGAAGGCGAAGGCAGCCCCUUGGGAAUGUACUGACGCUCAUGUGCGAAAGCGUGGGGGAGCAAACAGGAUUAGAUACCCUGGUAGUCCACGCUGUAAACGCUGUCGAUUUGGGGGUUGGGGUUUAACUCUGGCGCCCGUAGCUAACGUGAUAAAUCGACCGCCUGGGGAGUACGGCCGCAAGGUU